Molecule: ribosomal RNA, 404 nt
Filed under: uncultured bacterium
Lineage: Bacteria
Description: bacterial SSU rRNA
Rfam family: Bacterial small subunit ribosomal RNA
Source: RNAcentral
CAAGGAAUUUUCCGCAAUGGGCGAAAGCCUGACGGAGCAACGCCGCGUGCGGGAUGACGCUUUUCGGAGUGUAAACCGCUGUUCGUGGGGACGAAGCACUGACGGUACCCACGGAGGAAGGCCCGGCUAACUACGUGCCAGCAGCCGCGGUAAUACGUAGGGGUCGAGCGUUGUCCGGAGUUACUGGGCGUAAAGCGUGCGCAGGCGGCUCAUCGCGCUCGGCGUGAAAGCCCCCGGCUUAACCGGGGAGGGUCGUCGAGGACGGGUGAGCUUGAGGGUAUCAGGGGUUGGUGGAAUUCCCGGUGUAGUGGUGAAAUGCGUAGAGAUCGGGAGGAACACCCGUGGCGAAGGCGGCCAACUGGGAUACACCUGACGCUGAGGCACGAAGGCGUGGGGAGCGAACG